This 817-nucleotide long non-coding RNA is filed under the name Pan troglodytes (chimpanzee). Its description in RNAcentral is "lincRNA". Lineage: Eukaryota; Metazoa; Chordata; Mammalia; Primates; Hominidae. The record is from RNAcentral.
GUGGAGUACUCACCUACCUGCUGCAUGAAGGCAGCAUGGAGGGACUGUGGUGGAUUAUCUGCAAAGAUGGCCAAAAUUCUCUCAUCCCUGCAGGCACAUACAAGAUGCCAGAAUCAGUCAAAACUAAGCUCACUGUCCUUGCUAAUAUUCUGCCCCAGAGAAGAACUGAAGCUCAGCUAUUCACCCUACAGAAAGCCUGAAUUUUGUAAAAGUUCUGCUUAGAAUGAGGAAGAAAGAUGAAGAAUGAGGAGGAAGAAGGGAGGAACAAGAGAGAGAGCCAGGUUUCCAGAAGUUCCCCAGUCAUUGAGCAUUUCUGAGGCUCUUGAUGCAUAUGCCAAGUAGUUAUGGAGAAAGACACAGCAGCUUACCUCUGCAGGCAUCAUUGUGUGAAAGGAAGACCCAGGCUCUCUCACCACCCUUCAACAGAAGCCUUUUGCUAAGGUGAUAGCUACAUGUCCAAGCCUAUUGCGUGGCAUGCAUUUUGCCUUCUGCAGCCCACUAAAGGAGUUUGCAGUUCACCCGCAAACCUCAGCGAUCCAAGCUCCCCUGGAUGACCAUCACUCACCAAGAAAAGAACAAUAACAGGACCUGUUUUGCUAAUCCAGGACUGUUCUCCAGCACUAACUCUAAAUAAUCCCUUCUGCUAGAGUCCACUUUCUGGAACCUGUUGCCUCCGUUUUCAACGUUUCCCAAACUUGGUCCGUUGUGUGAGCUGGCUGAUAAAAGUUCCAGGGAGAGGACAUCUUACUCUUAUUGGAUCAUGCACAGUGCCUGAAGCAUUCUGUUGCAUGUAGAAAUCAGUAAAUUGCAGAUGUAA